Nothoprocta perdicaria is the source of this 104-nucleotide long non-coding RNA. RefSeq lists it as uncharacterized. NCBI's taxonomy places the organism in Eukaryota, Metazoa, Chordata, Aves, Tinamiformes, Tinamidae. The transcript is spliced from 2 exons. The record is from RefSeq and is a predicted model, not a curated record.
UGGGCGAGCGCGCGGCGCGGGGGGAAGAUGGCGGAGCCGAAGGUCCUGGUCAUCGACGGGCGCGGGCACCUCCUGGGGCGGCUGGCGGCCAUUGUGGCCAAGCA